CUUCCUUCUUAACUCUGACUCAAUAAUGCAAGUUAUAGAGACGGGUGACCGACUGAAACACACCGUUACUGUGAGCAAGAUUACACGUUUCUCUGGAUUUGAAUGUUUCGGAAUCAUGUGGGAUUAUGUGAAGGAACCUGCACCUGCAAGCAUGCAGUUAUGAGACGACAGGAAUGUGCAGCAGAUCCAGCGAGGCAACCAGCCAAAUAAGUGUCGAAAGGAAGGAGUCUGUUAAACACAUAGAGGAACAACAACCCCCCCAAAAAUCCUUCUGAGACUCAAACACCUUUUUACACCAGGAAAAGACUCGAACGACAGUAUGGAGGUGAUUUACAGCAGUUCUGACCAAGACUAAGACUCCCGUGACGAGAAGACACCGCAGAAAUGUAGCGACAACCACUGGCUGAAAUUCACUUUAUGUGGCAUUGCA
Molecule: long non-coding RNA, 430 nt
Organism: Acanthopagrus latus (yellowfin seabream)
Lineage: Eukaryota; Metazoa; Chordata; Actinopteri; Spariformes; Sparidae
Exons: 3
Source: RefSeq, a predicted model, not a curated record